Molecule: ribosomal RNA, 253 nt
Filed under: uncultured bacterium
Lineage: Bacteria
Description: partial 16S ribosomal RNA
Rfam family: Bacterial small subunit ribosomal RNA
Source: RNAcentral
UACGCAGGGGGCUAGCGUUGUUCGGAAUUACUGGGCGUAAAGGGCGCGUAGGCGGUGUGUCAAGUCAGGCGUGAAAGCCCCGGGCUCAACCUGGGAACCGCGGUUGAGACUGGCACGCUCGAGUUCGGGAGAGGAUGGUGGAAUUCCCAGUGUAGAGGUGAAAUUCGUAGAUAUCGGGAAGAACACCGAUGGCGAAGGCAGCCAUCUGGACCGACACUGACGCUGAGGCGCGAAAGCGUGGGGAGCAAACAGG